GGAAAUUCAAUUUUAUUUAUUAAAAAGUUGGGGUCUUACAAUAAUAUAAAUACCAAACUUAAUUUACAUAUAUCAGAGUCUAAUCCCAAGUACGCGACCUUUAAACAUUCAUUACAUGCUAAUUAAUAGAUAUCAUUGUCUUAAUAAAGUUAAACUAUUACAUAAGAUAACACAAACUUAUUCGGUCAGCUUUCCCUUCCCUUUAUUCUUAGCCGAGCCUUCAGGUUGAUCACAUUUAGCUGAAAACAUUUAAAUUAAGCAAGGAUGAGCAUUUGAGUGCCCAGCAAGUAAUAGUAAGUAAUAAAAUUUAGAUGAUGGAAGUAAAUAUUUUCCGUGAAUAACACUUCUACAAUGAAUCAACAAUUGUGAAGUAAGCGGAAGCAACAAUAAACAACAUAUCAUUUCAAUUUCAAAUUUUGUUAAACUAUGUACUGACUAUAAAUGGGGAUCAAUCGACAGACUAUGAACAUUAUUUUCUAUUUUUGAGAAGGUUAAACAGAACUUCAUCUGUAAACCAUCAUAACUUACAGGCACGGGGGUGAUCAGCCCAAUAUGUCCUGUAUUGAUCAAUAGUAUAUGUUCGAACGAUAUUUUCGUCCAGCAUAUCCGCCUUAAGCGCAUAAAAGUUUUUCCAGAUUCGGGAUGUUCAUACUAGUCUAGAAUUCGAACCAAAACAAAUUGGUUGGAUACAAUAAAAUUCUAUCUUGUUCAACAAUAUUUUUUAAAUAUGUGUUUAGCUGAAUCAAAUAGCUUAGAAAGCUUUUAAGUCAAUGUAUACAUACUGGAAAC
This 789-nucleotide long non-coding RNA is filed under the name Panax ginseng (ginseng). RNAcentral describes it as "long non-coding RNA (PGIN_LNC018163)". The record is from RNAcentral. Lineage: Eukaryota; Viridiplantae; Streptophyta; Magnoliopsida; Apiales; Araliaceae.